CCUACGGGAGGCAGCAGUGAGGAAUAUUGGUCAAUGGUCGGAAGCCUGAACCAGCCAAGUCGCGUGAGGGAAUAAGGCCCUACGGGUCGUAAACCUCUUUUGCCGGGGAGCAAGGGCUGGGACGUGUCCCGGCCCGGAGAGUACCCGGAGAAAAAGCAUCGGCUAACUCCGUGCCAGCAGCCCCGGUAAUACGGAGGAUGCGAGGUUUAUCCGGUUUUAUUGGGUUUAAAGGGGGCGUAGGCGGGCUUUUAGUUCAGCGGUAAAAAUUCGGGGCUCAACCCCGUCCGGCCGUUGAAACUGGGUGCCUUGAGUGAGGUAGAGGUUGGCGGAAUUCCGGGUGUAGCGGUGAAAUGCGUAGAUAUUCGGAGGAACACCGGUGGCGAAGGCGGCCAACUGGGCUUUAACUGACGCUGAGGCUCGAAAGUGUGGGGAGCAAACAGGAUUAGAUACCCCAGUAGUC
Molecule: ribosomal RNA, 460 nt
Filed under: uncultured bacterium
Lineage: Bacteria
Description: partial 16S ribosomal RNA
Rfam family: Bacterial small subunit ribosomal RNA
Source: RNAcentral